Molecule: ribosomal RNA, 488 nt
Filed under: uncultured Desulfobulbus sp.
Lineage: Bacteria; Pseudomonadati; Thermodesulfobacteriota; Desulfobulbia; Desulfobulbales; Desulfobulbaceae
Description: bacterial SSU rRNA
Rfam family: Bacterial small subunit ribosomal RNA
Source: RNAcentral
CUCAAAUGAAUUGACGGGGGCCCGCACAAGCGGUGGAGUAUGUGGUUUAAUUCGAUGCAACGCGAAGAACCUUACCUGGUCUUGACAUCCCGGAGACCCUUAGGAAACUAGGGGGUGCUUCCAUCUGGAAGAAUCUGGAGACAGGUGCUGCAUGGCUGUCGUCAGCUCGUGUCGUGAGAUGUUGGGUUAAGUCCCGCAACGAGCGCAACCCUUGCCUUUAGUUGCCAGCAGUUCGGCUGGGCACUCUAAAGGGACUGCCGGUGUUAAACCGGAGGAAGGUGGGGAUGACGUCAAGUCCUCAUGGCCUUUAUGACCAGGGCUACACACGUACUACAAUGGCCGAUACAAAGGGCAGCGACACUGCGAGGUGAAGCCAAUCCCGUAAAAUCGGUCUCAGUCCGGAUUGGAGUCUGCAACUCGACUCCAUGAAGUUGGAAUCGCUAGUAAUCGUGGAUCAGCAUGCCACGGUGAAUACGUUCCCGGGCCUU